ACACAUGCAAGUCGAGGGGCAGCAUGAUUGAAGCUUGCUUCAAUUGAUGGCGACCGGCGCACGGGUGAGUAACGCGUAUCCAACCUUCCGCUUACUCGGGGAUAGCCUUUCGAAAGAAAGAUUAAUACCCGAUGGUAUGAUGAGAUUGCAUGAUAGCAUCAUUAAAGAUUUAUUGGUAAGCGAUGGGGAUGCGUUCCAUUAGGUAGUAGGCGGGGUAACGGCCCACCUAGCCGACGAUGGAUAGGGGUUCUGAGAGGAAGGUCCCCCACAUUGGAACUGAGACACGGUCCAAACUCCUACGGGAGGCAGCAGUGAGGAAUAUUGGUCAAUGGACGAGAGUCUGAACCAGCCAAGUAGCGUGAAGGAUGAAGGUCCUACGGAUUGUAAACUUCUUUUAUAAGGGAAUAAAACCUCCCACGUGUGGGAGCUUGUAUGUACCUUAUGAAUAAGCAUCGGCUAACUCCGUGCCAGCAGCCGCGGUAAUACGGAGGAUGCGAGCGUUAUCCGGAUUUAUUGGGUUUAAAGGGAGCGCAGACGGGUCGUUAAGUCAGCUGUGAAAGUUUGGGGCUCAACCUUAAAAUUGCAGUUGAUACUGGCGUCCUUGAGUGCGGUUGAGGUGUGCGGAAUUCGUGGUGUAGCGGUGAAAUGCUUAGAUAUCACGAAGAACUCCGAUUGCGAAGGCAGCACACUAAGCCGUAACUGACGUUCAUGCUCGAAAGUGUGGGUAUCAAACAGGAUUAGAUACCCUGGUAGUCCACACGGUAAACGAUGGAUACUCGCUGUUGGCGAUAUACGGUCAGCGGCUUAGCGAA
RNAcentral lists this ribosomal RNA (812 nucleotides) under uncultured bacterium. RNAcentral's name for it is "bacterial SSU rRNA". It matches the Rfam family "Bacterial small subunit ribosomal RNA", at positions 51 to 855 of the family's 1533-position model. The record is from RNAcentral.